Molecule: long non-coding RNA, 945 nt
Organism: Myotis daubentonii (Daubenton's bat)
Lineage: Eukaryota; Metazoa; Chordata; Mammalia; Chiroptera; Vespertilionidae
Source: RefSeq, a predicted model, not a curated record
GUCUGAAGCCCGGGCCUGGGAGCUGGGGGGGCGGGCGCGCGCAUGCGUGCGGGGGGCGCGCGGUUCCCGCCCCUUCCAGAGCGCGUCCGCUUUCCCCUCCCCCCGUUCCUCCGCUGCCGCCUCCGAGCCUCCCCCGCGCCCAGCCCUCUCUUUUCGAGGGGGAGGGAGCCCGUCUCGCCCAUCUACUGACAACCCCUUCACCCCAGCUUCGCCCCGCCUUCCCUGAGCUUCGGAACAAACUCCACAGUGAGAGCUCGGCUUUCACAUUCCCGCCUCCGCCUCCUCUCUCCCCUCCCAACCCUAAAGCACUUCCUGCAAACUGCCCUGUUCUCGCUCCUCUCGGCGCCACCUCCCACUUCCCACUAACUAGGUGGCGGCUCUCACGUCGGCGGGGGCCGCGGGUUCUAGUCCUGGACUCUCCCCGCUGGAAGUAGUGGUCGUCUGCCCCAUUUUGCGGAUGGUGAAGUUAAGGCCCCGAGAUCUGACGUGCUUGACUCUAAUGGCCCCUCGAGUGGUUCCCAAGUUCGAACGCCCUGACGCUGGGAAGAUGGGCCCUCGACCCCCUGAAAUAAUCCACAAUUUGAAUAGAUGCCCAUUAAGUCUUUUCAUCACCAAGCCUUCUAAAGAUGACUUUUCUGGCCAUUGCCUAUAGACUCUAUUCUUCGUCAGAUCCUGGGACUCCAGAAAAAAAUUAAAAAGAGCCUUAAAGAUAGCCGAAACCGGUUUGGCUCAGUGGAUAGAGCGUCAGCCUGCGGACUGAAAGGUCCCAGGUUCGAUUCCGGUCAAGGGCAUGUACCUGGGUUGCGGGCAUAUCCCCAGUAGGAGAUGUGCAGGAGGCAGCUGAUCGAUGUUUCUCUCUCAUCGAUGUUUCUAACUCUCUAUCUCUCUCCCUUCCUCUCUGUAAAAAAUCAAUAAAAUAUAUUUAAAAAAAAAAAAGAGCCUUAA